Molecule: ribosomal RNA, 443 nt
Filed under: uncultured bacterium
Lineage: Bacteria
Description: bacterial SSU rRNA
Rfam family: Bacterial small subunit ribosomal RNA
Source: RNAcentral
CGGGCAAUAUUGAACAAUGGGGGGUGGCGUGAGCCAGCCAUGGGGUUGGAGUCAUUUUGGCGUAAGGGUUGUAAAGCUCUUUUAUUCGUGAAGAUAAUGACGGUACCCGCAGAAGAAGCCCCGGCUAACUUUGUGCCAGCAGCCGCGGUAAUAGGAAGGGGGCGAGUGUUGUUCGGAAUUACUGGGCGUAAAGCGCACGUAGGCGGAUAUUUAAGUCAGGGGUGAAAUCCCGGGGCUCAACCCCGGAACUGCCUUUGAUACUGGGUGUCUAGAGUAGGGGAGAGGGGAGUGGAAUUCCGAGUGUAGGGGUGAAAUUCGUAGAUAUUGGGAGGAACACCAGUGGCGAAGGCGGCUCUCUGGUCCGGUACUGACGGUGAGGUGAGAAAGCGUGGGGAGCAAACAAGAUUACAUACCCGUGUAGUCCACGCCCUAAACGAUGUAAG